RNAcentral lists this transfer RNA (71 nucleotides) under Marmota monax (woodchuck). RNAcentral's name for it is "tRNA.Asp". It matches the Rfam family "tRNA". From Rfam's summary of the family: Transfer RNA (tRNA) molecules are approximately 80 nucleotides in length. Their secondary structure includes four short double-helical elements and three loops (D, anti-codon, and T loops). Further hydrogen bonds mediate the characteristic L-shaped molecular structure. tRNAs have two regions of fundamental functional importance: the anti-codon, which is responsible for specific mRNA codon recognition, and the 3' end, to which the tRNAs corresponding amino acid is attached (by aminoacyl-tRNA synthetases). tRNAs cope with the degeneracy of the genetic code in two manners: having more than one tRNA (with a specific anti-codon) for a particular amino acid; and 'wobble' base-pairing, i.e. permitting non-standard base-pairing at the 3rd anti-codon position. The record is from RNAcentral. Lineage: Eukaryota; Metazoa; Chordata; Mammalia; Rodentia; Sciuridae.
GGGGUUGUGGCUCAGUGAUAGAGCACUCACCUGUCAUGAGUGAGGCACUGGGUUCGAUCCUCAGCACCACA